RNAcentral lists this ribosomal RNA (301 nucleotides) under uncultured bacterium. Its description in RNAcentral is "partial 16S ribosomal RNA". It matches the Rfam family "Bacterial small subunit ribosomal RNA", at positions 509 to 807 of the family's 1533-position model. The record is from RNAcentral.
CAGCCGCCGCGGUAAUACGGAGGGUGCAAGCGUUAAUCGGAAUUACUGGGCGUAAAGCGCACGCAGGCGGUUUGUUAAGUCAGAUGUGAAAUCCCCGAGCUUAACUUGGGAACUGCAUUUGAAACUGGCAAGCUAGAGUCUUGUAGAGGGGGGUAGAAUUCCAGGUGUAGCGGUGAAAUGCGUAGAGAUCUGGAGGAAUACCGGUGGCGAAGGCGGCCCCCUGGACAAAGACUGACGCUCAGGUGCGAAAGCGUGGGGAGCAAACAGGAUUAGAUACCCCGGUAGUCCCUGUCUCUUAUAC